RNAcentral lists this transfer RNA (73 nucleotides) under Bacteriophage sp. Its description in RNAcentral is "tRNA-Ile". It matches the Rfam family "tRNA". Rfam says of the family: Transfer RNA (tRNA) molecules are approximately 80 nucleotides in length. Their secondary structure includes four short double-helical elements and three loops (D, anti-codon, and T loops). The record is from RNAcentral.
ACUCCAUUAACUCAGUGGUUAGAGUUCGAAGCUUAUACCUUCGCGGUCCUUGGUUCAAAUCCAAGAUGGAGUA